CCUCCUUUCUAAGGAGCUAUAUGUUUUACUGUGAAACAUUACGACUUUGAUUGAUAUUCAGUUUUCAAAAGCUUUAGUUUGGGUAUAUAGCUGGGUGUAUAGCUCAGUUGGUUAGAGCGCUGUGCUGAUAACGCAGAGGUCUCUGGUUCGAUUCCAGAUAUGCCCAUUUAGUGUGGGGGCGUAGCUCAGUUGGGAGAGCGUCUGCCUUGCACGUAGAAGGUCAGCGGUUCGAAUCCGCUCGUCUCCACUCUGCUUUGUGCGUUGUUAGCUCAAAGCGAUGAUCUUUGACAAGUACAUGAAUUUCUUUUGAUUAAAAGCUUCUUAGUAUAAAAAAAUUGUUAAGCUACUAAGGGCCUACGGUGGAUGCA
Molecule: unclassified non-coding RNA, 368 nt
Filed under: uncultured Alteromonadaceae bacterium
Lineage: Bacteria; Pseudomonadati; Pseudomonadota; Gammaproteobacteria; Alteromonadales; Alteromonadaceae
Description: partial 16S-23S ribosomal RNA intergenic spacer
Rfam family: tRNA (bases 93-166)
Source: RNAcentral